This 81-nucleotide signal recognition particle RNA is filed under the name marine eukaryotic metagenome. RNAcentral's name for it is "Bacterial small signal recognition particle RNA". The stretch from base 1 to 68 matches the Rfam family "Bacterial small signal recognition particle RNA", at positions 13 to 80 of the family's 97-position model. Rfam says of the family: The signal recognition particle (SRP) is a universally conserved ribonucleoprotein involved in the co-translational targeting of proteins to membranes. The record is from RNAcentral.
CGGGCAGGCACCUCGCCAACCCGGUCAGAUCCGGAAGGAAGCAGCCGUAACGAGCUCCGCUUGGGUCGUUGUCCAGCCUCU